RNAcentral lists this long non-coding RNA (7198 nucleotides) under Daucus carota (carrot). Its description in RNAcentral is "long non-coding RNA (DCAR_LNC005787)". Lineage: Eukaryota; Viridiplantae; Streptophyta; Magnoliopsida; Apiales; Apiaceae. The record is from RNAcentral.
GUGCUCAUAGUUAGGUUAUGCAACUGUUACUUGGAAUUAAUUGUCUCCUACUUGCACAUUCUAGGGUACUUGGGUUUCUAUGGGAGUAUACUCUGAUGGCUCAUACAAUGUGCCAGCCGGGCUUAUCUAUUCCUUCCCAGUAACCUGCGCUAAUGGAGAAUGGAAAAUUGUUCAAGGUUAGGCUGCCUUGAUAUCAAAACAUGCUACAUGGUUAUUAUCUUUAGUAAUGAAGUCAUAAAGCAAUGUUUUUAAGCAAAUUUUACUUUGUUGUGCCUUAAUUUAUAUAUUAUUUUGCCAAAUAUGUGUCUUAAUUUUACUUUGACUCAUUGCAGGACUUUCCAUUGACGAAUUCUCAAGGAAGAAACUGGACUUGACGGCUGAGGAACUCAGUGAGGAGAAGGCAUUGGCAUACUCCUGCCUCUCUUAAAUUUCUCGUCUUCUGCAACAGUGUGGAAACUGGAAGAGAACAAGAUUAAUAAUGCAACUCUCUUGAAAUUGCAAAACGCUAAUGAUGCAAGUGCUCAUUAUGCAGAUCCUCUUUGUUGUCGGAUCUAUAUGUAGUUUUGUGUUUUAAAUUCGGGCAAACUUAAAAUUUAGGCUUUCAGAUUACUGUCAUGGAGAGUUGAUAUGGAUGUUGCUUGCCCAUUGUGAUAAAAAAGGACAUGUAUUUUUCAUUUGCCUUUGAUUAUUCUUAACACCGUUGCUUUUCACUGUGAGCUGGUGCGAUUGUUAUGUGUGUUUCCUGUGGAUGUCUUUUUCACUUAUAAUUUAUGGCAUAUAUAUCAAUGUUUUAUCCAAAAAUGAUCUCGGGGAAAACGUUUAUAUUUUUUCAGAAGUAAAAACAAACAUCUGUAAGCGAUUAAGAACCGGUUAUGCAGCAAGGCAAGUGUAAGAGCAUCUCCAAGGUUAAUAUGUAAACUCAUUAGCUAUAAUGCUCAUCUAAAUGGACAAUACAAUUUUUUUGCUAACAGUGAAGGUUUUCACUCCAAUGAUGUUAUGUAAAAUUAUUAUAAGCUAAAAUUAUACCUAACAACCUAAUUGAUUCAACAAAUCUAUUGAAUCAUUCUUUGUAAUCUAUAAUUUUUUUGCUAAAGGGUGAUGGUUGGAGUGCAACUUUUUUUAUAUAUUAUGUAAAAGAGCCACGUAGAUGACACAUAGGAUGACAUAUAGAUUUUUAGCUAAUAGUUUUCACCCAUUGGAGAUACUCUAACAGUUUAUGAAGAAAUCUAGUCCUUAACAUUAUGAAAAAAGCUUGAUUUGCGUGCCGAGGAUCACGUAAAGAAGACACGGGUGAAGUAUGAUCUUGUGAUGGGUGAAAUAUAUUUGUGGACACGAAGGAACCCAAUAAUAUACGUUACUUUUUUUUAAUAAUUUCCUACAAUAAUUAAAAUGUCAGAAAUCUGAAGUCUUAUGGUCCAAUACGACAUUGUAAUCGUGGAAACCUGAGCUACAUUAUUUUUCGCGAGCAAGUGCUUUUUAGAAAAAGACGCGACUCCAGGAAGGGUCUCACUCUCCUCAGUAGGGGAGAGCAUGACCGGUUCGGCUCGGUUUCCGGAUAAAACCGGAACCGCAAUCAUAUAUUUUCGGUUUUUAAAAUCAAAAACCGCAACCGCCGGUUCGAAUUUGGUUUCAGUUUAAAAAAGCUCGGUUCGGUUUUGUAACACCCCACUUUUACAAUGGGGCUAAACGAUUAAAUAAUUCUAAAUUCAUUCAGAAAUAAUAUAAUAAUUUAACAACCAAAAUGUCAAUAUGGAUAAUAAAGUCUGAAACUCCAUGAUAAUAAAUCCAACAAAGUCUGAAACCAAUAGAAAUAUAAGCUCUAAAGUCUUAUUAUAGCCCCUAACAACGAAAGCAACUAAAGGUGGGUGUCACUCAUCACGAUCCCCGCUACCCCUGAUUACCUGCGGAAAGAAAGCAAACGAGAGUGAGCCAAUGCCCAGUACGAAUAUAAAAAUAGUGUAGGUGCAAAGAGUAUCAAUAAUCUCGAAACAAUGAUUACAAUAAAUUGGUACAAAUAAGUACCUCAAGUCACAAUAAUCGAGAUAAACAAUGAACUAUAAAUAAGACUCAAUGAUGAAUAAAUGACACAAUACGGGUCUCUUACACAAAACUGUACUUGCUCAACUCCAAUCACCGAGCAAAUACAGAACAAUGAUUUCUUCUUCGGUUAUCCACAAGAAGAAAUAAAGAAUGUAUGAAACAUUCCACAAAACAAUAACGAUCAUGAUCUUCUCACGUCUCAUACCCCAGAAACGUGCUCGUAUGCUUAAAUCACCGAUACGAGUUGGUGUCUAGUUCACCUUUACUACGAACUCCAUGUGAACAUUGUCCGUGAUUUACCCACACGGAUAAGUUUAAGAGCCCAAACAAUUACAAAAGUUGCCGACUCAAUGAACAAAAUAUAUACAGUGGUACAAUCAUAAAACGAAAGGAAACAAUAGGAGUCAAGGCAACAAUAAUUCAAAUAUAUGAAGGCCAAGUGAAAAGAGUGAUGUGCAAUAACAAAAGAGAUUUUAAGAAUGUCAAAAUAAUAAAUAUCAUAAAUAUUUAUUAUUUAAGUAAAAGAGAGAAAAGAAUAGAAUCCGUACCUGAUAUAACAACACUAAUUUAGUUGUGAUCAAAACUGAAGCUACUCCUCCUUAUGAAUCUAUAAUCAAUUUAAAUUAAUUCAAACAUAUCAGUUUUAUGCAUUUCCAAGUUCAAUCUUGUCACUAUAAAUAGUAUAUAUAUAUCACGUAAAAUACAACUAACCAAAAUAAUUUAGGUGUCUUCCAACUAUUAUUCCAGGAGCGACAUAUUGCAUAAAGAAUAAAGUAAAACAAUAACAAUGAAGCCAAUACUAGAACCUGGUUACUACAACUAGUUAUAAAUAAUAUUAUAAACAAAUAAAAAGCAUAAUCAUCGUUUAGGCACUCAAGCAGCACAGCGUGGCACCUGGUUCUAUCACCAGACUUUAUAAGCCAUCAAACUACUUCAAUUUAACCAACACUUAUUACUGCAUUAACUAGUAACGUCAGCCGGAAGGGUACAACUACAAAUAAUAAUAAUAAUAACAACGUAUAAUAAUAAUAACAUAUAAGCAUAUUUAGUACUCGAUAAUAUUGUUAUUAAAUCUAUAUAUAAUAUAUAAUAUAGCAAGAGAAUAAACUACACACAAUCAUCUUGAAGUUCAGAUGCAUGCACAUAUACACAUAUGCUUAUACUUACUUACCUUUAAUUUAAUAAAAAUAAAAUAAUCUCACACUUUAAUAAUAAACAUAAGAAAUAUUAUUGUUUUAAAGAAUGGUACUAGUUUUAGUAACGGAACACAAGCUCGAGAACAUGGUUAUGAAACAAGAAAUUUGGUGAGGAUUAAAGUCAUAAUUAUUACAAAUAAAAAUAAUAAAUACAGUAACUCUCUAUUUUAAAACACAAUAAAAGGAUGCAGUGAUUUUGAAAUCAGACUCUCAAUUAUUUUUAAUUAAAAUAACUAGCAAAACACAUUAUCAAAAUCUAAUUUACCAAUAUAUAAUAAGGCAAACUCUACUUUAUAAACAAUCAAUCCUCCAAACACUAGUACACUGCCCAAACUCCCGUAUCUACGUAAUAGGGUUCGGCACAUGAGUCUGGACACCUUAGGCUUAUAACCACACUGAAUUAUCAACAAGUACCAAACGUAACAAAGUUACAGUUCCAAUAAAAUAGGAUAUUGCCAGAGUAUUUAAAAAAAACAAUACAUGUAACCCCACAUAUAAACCUUUAAGAAAAUAACCAACAGUAGGAAAUUCACAUUAAUAAUCACCAUAUUAAAAUAUCAUAAAUAUAUGUACCCAGAUUUCAAUUAUAUAAAUAAAUAAAUUAAUAUAAAACCCAGAUAAAGGAAGAAUAUGUACAAAUGUAUUUUGAUGUAAAAAAAAAUACAAAACUAAAUGAAUAAAUUAAUUGGUAAUUAGAUACACAAGAGGUAUUUUGCUUACCGAAAUAGAAUGCUCUCAAAAUGAUGAAUGCAGCACAGCGUAUAAUUAGUAUACUAAUUAUGAACCUGAAAUAAAUUCAACACAAUUAAUAUAAUUUUAUAAGUGUAACAAAUAUAUUUGGGUAUGAAGAUUUGAAUCAAACCUCCACCAUUUACCAAGAAUUACCAGUAUGUAACUUUCUCGUCGCACCUUCCUUAAUAAUAUGCUACACCUUGUAUAUUGCACCAAAAUCUAUCCAAUCAUGUACUGUGUUUUACUACCGCAUGCAUACUCUCUCACGCUUGCCACCAGUAGAAUAAUUAUAUUUAACUCUGUUGUGGAUGACUUAGAUGUGUUCUCGAAAUUUAUAGUAAAUAAAGAUAAGUAUGCUUUAAAGAUUAGCAUCAAAAUAUUCAAAAUAUUAUGCCUCAUCUAAAGUUUAGUUACAGUUUCAUCCUAAUCCUUAACCAACUAAUUAGUCGAUUAUGCAUAUCCACAAUAAUAUUUAGAAUAUAAACCAAAGAUUGUUUUAAUAUUAUUUUAUAAUAUUAAUAACUAAUUAAAUAAUAAAAACCUGGUUGUUAUAUCCUUCCCCCCUUAACAAUAAUUUCGUCCUCGAAAUUAAAGGCACGAACCUGAUUCAAAAAGAUAUGGGUACUUUGCGCGAACAGACUCCUCAGUUUCCCACGUAGCUUCUCGAACAUCAUGGUUCUUCCAAAGAAUCUUAACAAAAGGAAUCGUGUUUUUACGCAAGACUCUCUCCUCUCUCGCCAAUAUAGCCUCGGCCUCUUCUUCACAAGACAAGUCCUCUCGAAAUGCGUCCAAAGGAUACUGAACAAUAUGAUGUGGAUGGUAAACAUAUUUUCUCAAAAGUGAUGCGUGGAAUACAUUAUGAAUCCGUGAUAACUGUGGUGGCAAUGCAACUCUAUACGCCACUGUUCCGACUCUCUCAAGAAUCUCGAAAGGUCCAAUAUACCUCGGACUCAAUUUACCCUUUUGACCGAACCGCUGAAUGCCCUUCGAAGGAGAUACUUUUAGAAAAACGUUGUCACCAACUUUAAACUCAUACUCUCGUCGACCUUUAUCUGCAUAACUCUUUUGUCUUGACCGGGCCUGUCUAAGCCUCUCUCGAGCUACCUCUACCUUAUCGGUAGUGACCUGAACCAGAUCGGGACCCUCCAAAAGUUUCUCACCCACUUCAUUCCAACAAGUUGGUGUUCUACACUUGCGCCCAUAAAGUGCCUCAAAGGGAGCCAUACCAAUGCUCGCCUGCCAACUGUUGUUGUAAGCAAACUCCACCAACGGCAGAUACUCAUCCCAAUUUCCUGACCAAUCCAAUGCACAUGCUCGUAACAUAUCUUCCAAAGUCUGAAUUGUCCGCUCUGACUGUCCAUCUGUCUGUGGAUGAAAAGCUGUACUGUAGUUUAGUUUGGUACCCCAUGCUUUCUGAAAUCCUUGCCAAAAUUUUGAAGUGAAUCUAGGGUCUCUAUCAGAAACAAUCGAAACUGGAAUCCCAUGAAGUCUCACAAUCUCAUUCCUGUCGGAAUAAAAGAAUUAGGCAUUUUUUGCAUCUUGCCUUGGAGUCUUAUUUUCUGUUUUAAGCAUUUUUUGUGUUUCUGCAUUUUUUACUUGUAUUGAGGAAAUUAUGUCUUUGUUGCAGGACAAAUCGGAUAUGCUCUUGUACCGAUGAUUGCCAGAGGAGUGAUGUUGGGUCUUGACCAACCGGUAAUCCUCCACAUGCUUGAUAUUCCACCAGCUGCUGAAGCUUUGAAUGGAGUGAAAAUGGAGUUGGUCGAUGCUGCUUUUCCCCUCUUGAAAGGUUAGUUUCUACACUUUCUUUAUGUAACUUUGACUUUUGAAAGAAAUAAUCACAAUUCGGAAGUAUUUAAUCUGACUAUAGCUUUUCAUGUUACAAUUUGUACCAGGUGUUGUUGCAACAACUGAUGUUGUUGAGGCAUGCACUGGAGUUAACUAUGCAGUAAUGGUUGGUGGAUUCCCGAGAAAAGAAGGCAUGGAAAGGAAGGAUGUGAUGACAAAGAAUGUGUCCAUUUACAAGAGUCAAGCUUCAGCUCUUGAGAAGCAUGCUGCUGCAAACUGCAAGGUAACUGAAUUUUUCACUAUUAUAGUCUAUAACAUGAAUCCUAAUGAAAUCAUGUAAUAGAUGUUUGUAUAUUAUUGUUUAUGUGAAGAUACAUGCAUUUGAUGUUUAGAUUUUAUCAGGGAUGUACAUGUAUGUGUAAUAAAUGCCAUAAGGAAUUAGUACGCUCGCAUUGUAGCUGCUGUUGAUUAUUCUUAUGCACUCUAUCAACAACUGGAAUGAGGGAUAAAUAAUUUGAAAUUGUUGAUAUUUCUUGAUUCAGGUCCUGGUAGUUGCAAACCCUGCCAACACCAACGCGUUGAUCUUGAAGGAAUUUGCACCAUCCAUCCCUGAGAAGAACAUAACUUGUCUUACAAGAUUAGAUCAUAACAGGGCACUUGGUCAAAUCUCUGAGAGAUUGAAUGUUCAAGUAUCCGAUGUUAAGAAUGCUAUCAUCUGGGGAAAUCACUCAUCAACACAGUAUCCUGAUGUCAACCAUGCAACUGUUGGGGGAAAGCCUGUCAGAGAGCUUGUUGCUGAUGAUGAAUGGUGAGUCGAUAAGAUUGUCUAUUCUUGUUUAUGGGUUCGUCAUAUUCGAUGACGUUAACUAUGAGAACUUGUUAAAUCUGUUCCCAUAUUUGAACUAAUGGACUGCUUUCGUUCAGGUUGAAUGGAGAAUUCAUUAAAACUGUCCAACAACGUGGUGCUGCAAUUAUCAAAGCUAGAAAGCUCUCCAGUGCAUUAUCUGCUGCUAGUUCAGCUUGUGACCACAUUCGUGAUUGGGUCCUUGGGACACCAGAGGUUAGUCCUGUCUAAUUUUGGUUUUCUGUUUAGUGGUACUUUCCGAUGUUGGUGCUCAUAGUUAGGUUAUGCAACUGUUACUUGGAAUUAAUUGUCUCCUACUUGCACAUUCUAGGGUACUUGGGUUUCUAUGGGAGUAUACUCUGAUGGCUCAUACAAUGUGCCAGCCGGGCUUAUCUAUUCCUUCCCAGUAACCUGCGCUAAUGGAGAAUGGAAAAUUGUUCAAGGUUAGGCUGCCUUGAUAUCAAAACAUGCUACAUGGUUAUUAUCUUUAGUAAUGAAGUCAUAAAGCAAUGUUUUUAAGCAAAUUUUACUUUGUUGUGCCUUAAUUUAUAUAUUAUUUUGCCAAAUAUGUGUCUUAAUUUUACUUUGACUCAUUGCAGGA